RNAcentral lists this ribosomal RNA (440 nucleotides) under uncultured bacterium. Its description in RNAcentral is "partial 16S ribosomal RNA". It matches the Rfam family "Bacterial small subunit ribosomal RNA", at positions 338 to 795 of the family's 1533-position model. The record is from RNAcentral.
CCUACGGGUGGCUGCAGUGGGGGAUAUUGCACAAUGGACGAAACUCUGAUGCAGCGACGCCGCGUGAGGGAAGACGGUCCUCGGAUUGUAAACCUCUGUCUUUGGGGAAGAAAAUGACGAUACCCCCAGAUGAAUCUCCGGCUAACUACGUGCCAGCAGCCGCGGCAAUACGUAGGGGGCAAGCGUUAUCCGGAUUUACUGGGUGUAAUGGGGGCGCAGACGGCGAUGCAAGCCAGCAGUGAAAGCCCGGGGCCCAACCCCGGUACUGCUCUUGGAACUGCGUGGCUGGAGUGCAGGAGGGGCAGGCGGAAGUCCUGGUGUAGCGGUGAAAUGCGUAGAUAUAAGGAGGAACACCGGUGGCGAAGGCGGCCUGCUGGACUGCAACUGACGUUGAGGCGCGAAAGCGUGGGGAGCAAACAGGAUUAGAUACCCGUGUAGUC